CCCAGCGGCGCCACCACCCACACACUCCCACCCAACCCGGCCCGGCGCCACACCGCGACGCGACGCGACGCAGCCACCACGCAGGCGGACGCGGCCGCGCUACGGACAAAAGCCAACCUCUCCCCUCCUCCGGUCCAGCGAGCGAGAGACCGCCACCGGCACCCAACGGAACCAGGCCUCCGUGCGUUCCAUAUGGUCUCCACGAACCCGCCGCCGCCGCCGGCGCUGUCCGAGGCGGCCGCCGCCGUGUCGGGCGACGACGCCAGCAAGAAGGUGCGGAAGCCCUACACCAUCACCAAGUCGCGCGAGAGCUGGACGGAGCAGGAGCACGACAAGUUCCUCGAGGCCCUGCAGCUCUUUGAUCGUGACUGGAAAAAGAUAGAAGCUUUUGUUGGUUCGAAGACUGUCAUCCAGAUAAGGAGCCAUGCACAGAAGUAUUUUUUGAAGGUUCAGAAAAAUGGAACCAGCGAACAUGUCCCACCUCCACGACCAAAGCGUAAAGCUGCCCACCCAUACCCUCAGAAGGCCUCCAAAAAUGAGCCAGGAUAUGCCCUGAAGACAGAUCCAUCUGCCAUGCUUAGAAACUCAGGAAUGAACGUGGCUGUUUCUCCAUGGACCCACAAUUCUAUCCCACCAGUUGUCGCCUCAUCUUUCAUGAAAGAAGAUUUAGGUGCUGGGUCUAUGGGUCCAAACAUUUUUUGCUCAAGCAGUAGUGAAGGCCCUCCAAGGGCAUGGCAAUCUGGUGAAACCAAUGACCAGAUAAAUCAAGUUCCAUCACUCCGCAUUAUGCCAGAUUUUGCACAAGUAUACAGCUUCUUAGGCAGUGUUUUCGAUCCAAGCACAAAGGGCCAUUUGCAGAAACUGAAGGAGAUGAAUCCAAUUGAUGUUGAAACGGCACUGUUGUUGAUGAGAAAUCUCUCCAUCAACUUGACCAGUCCUGAUUUUGAAGAUCAAGCGGUCAGUUUCAGAUGUUUAACUCCUUAUUUGGUCAGUAGCAGAAGUUAUUUCUUUCAUAUAAAGAAACUGCGCAGGAUUUCAACAGCAUGCUCGUGUCUUCUUGAACUUGGGUGUCUCUUCACACACUGUGCUUCUAUCAGGGUUUGCCCAAUUGCCAUGGUUUCUGCCUUGGUACUGUCAAUACAAAUUGUUGCCACUGUGCAGAAUGACUGGAAUAUUUGGGCAGCUAUCAUGUGUGUAAAGUCAUCAUGUUUUGCAAACUUUCAAAAUUAUCAGAAAUUUGAGGAAGUUGCUGUCUUCGUACAAUUCCACCUCUGAUGAGCUAGAGCUAGGGAGCUCCAGAAGCUCACUUCUUACGGAUAGUGCAUUGAGCCUUUUUUGAUAGUUCAUGAUUAAAGGCAGAUGGUGCCGCCUAUAGUUCCAUCUCGAUCUCUGAAUAGGGUUUUUUUCCUGGAGCACCCAUGAAGGCGCUUGCACCAUUGUAUUUCUAGCUAGCUUCGAACCGUAGAAUGUGUAAGGGGGCAACCAUGUACAGUAGGCUUCCAUAAGGUGAGAUCUGUCUAUACCCUGAUGUGUAUAUAUUUUUGCCUCGAAGCGUGUAUCUUUCCUCCCCCGGUACCUUGGCACAGAUGUUGCUUCCGUCAAAGCUUGAAAGUGCUGUUCUUAGUGAUAGUAAAUGGAAAGGAAAUUUUGAGUAAUGUUGGUUACUCCCUUUUCCCUCCAUUGAGUUCAGUCGGUGAUGUCAUUUUCGUUUGUGUCUGGCAAGAUACUCUCCCGUGUGACUAUGACAUAAGCAUAAUACUCCAUGUGUUGUCUGUUGAGAA
Molecule: RNA transcript, 1781 nt
Organism: Triticum aestivum (bread wheat)
Lineage: Eukaryota; Viridiplantae; Streptophyta; Magnoliopsida; Poales; Poaceae
Gene name: protein REVEILLE 6
Exons: 10
Source: RefSeq, a predicted model, not a curated record